UGCACUGUUAAUAUAGUGGUGCGUAAGCAGUUGAUAAUGUAAAAGUGUCUCAUCUUCAGAUUUUGCUUUGAACAAGUUCAAUAAUCUUUCCAAGGGACCACUAAUAGAGCCAGACCUUAUUUGGGCAUGUACAGAAAAACACAGUAUCUGCAUUAUUAUUUUGUCGGGGGGUACUGGAGGUCAGUAAUGCUUUUAAGGUUUUGUUUUUUUCAAACCUUGGAAAUACAGUCGUAGUUUACACCAGUGUUUCUUUAACUCUCUGUCACUUUGGCUUAUGUGACACAUGAUGAUAUCUGCAGGAUCAAGGCUUUCCAGGACCAAGUGGUCAUUGCAAUCAGAGCUCCUGAAGGGACCAAGUUGGAGGUCCCUGCCCCAAAAGAGGACAGCAUCCAAAUCCGCUUGAAGAGCACCAGGGGUCCAAUCAAAGUGCUGCUGAGUGAGACAGAUGGGCCUUGCAGGGGCCGAAACUUUGGAGCUGUCUUGGCAGGCACCUUCUUUACGCUGGAGAACAGCAGAAUACGGGUCACCCCACUCAUUGCAGAUGGAGCCCCCCAGUAACCCAUGGGUGGAAAAAAACUGCACAUUUCUGAAAGAAUCCUAACAUCCUGCUGUUGGAAUUUUCAUCUAUGUAAAUAACAAAACACUAAAAGCAUCUGUUUUAUUUCUGCUUGGAUUUUUAAUUGUCAGGAUGCCCUAGUAAAGUUUUCUUUUCGUUUUCUGAUAAUUUUUACAAUGAAGACUGGAAUGCACAUCUAAACCUUAAAAACAUGGACCAGGUUGACAAUCCUAAGAAGGGCAAUUUGACAGCUCACAAGCCUAAAAAAAAAAAAAAGUUUAUUUUUGUGUAUAUGAAUAUGUAAAUGCUAUUAAAAUUGUUGAGAGAUUGCACUGCAGUGCCCAGUACCUUUUUAGUUUUUCCUUGACAUUGCCUGGAGGAAACUGGCUGCUGAAAUUGCCUACUGAUGAGAGGCUUGACAACUGUGUUAUUACAGCAUAGUUGAAUAUAGCUAUCAGUAAAAACUUUCAAUAUUCUUGUAAAUAAACAUGCAAUAUGCAAGUGUGUUUAUAUCUGA
This 1073-nucleotide long non-coding RNA is filed under the name Scleropages formosus (Asian bonytongue). RNAcentral describes it as "lncRNA (ENSSFOG00015029505.1)". The record is from RNAcentral. Lineage: Eukaryota; Metazoa; Chordata; Actinopteri; Osteoglossiformes; Osteoglossidae.